GUAAACAGUAUUAUGGCAGAAUCUUCAAUAUUUACUCGCUGUUUGCGAGUAAAUUAUGGUCAACGAUGUGCAAAUGAUUGUCCGGAUGUGCUCUACAACACCGCAGAGCAAAGCUUGAGAAAGGUUUCAAGUUUUAUGCAUCUUCCUACCUGUGCAAUUAUGAAGGUAACAUUAUGAGAUUCAGAGCUAGAAAAUUGUAUGUGUUACUUCAUCCUGGAGCGGACAUCCGUCAGAAGAUCCAUGCCAUCGUCUGCUAGUUAAUAGCUCCUGCUCUUGUGUGGCUGAGAGUGGGAUAUGCAAACAUUUGGUUGCUUUGCUUUUCCAGAAAGCCCAUUACUCUGAAAUGUGUAAUGUGAGUUGUCACAUGAACAAUUGUUUGGAAUGGAUCAAUUAUGUGUUAAGUUCCAUGAAACAGAUGGGUGAUUUAUUUAUUUAUUUAUUUAAUACGUAUAAGCCCAAAUACCUCUCUAUGCACAAGUUACAGAAGAAGCACCUGAUUCAAGAAAACAACUGAUUCAAUGUUAUUGUUUCUGUUUAUCUGAAUAAAAUAUUUUUUUCAAAAUGUUA
Molecule: non-coding RNA, 567 nt
Organism: Danio rerio (zebrafish)
Lineage: Eukaryota; Metazoa; Chordata; Actinopteri; Cypriniformes; Danionidae
Source: RefSeq, a predicted model, not a curated record